UAGGGAAUCUUCCGCAAUGGACGCAAGUCUGACGGAGCAACGCCGCGUGAGUGAAGAAGGAUUUCGGGUCGUAAAACUCUGUUGUUAGAGAAGAACAGCGCAUAGAGUAACUGUUAUGCGUGUGACGGUAUCUAACCAGAAAGCCACGGCUAACUACGUGCCAGCAGCCGCGGUAAUACGUAGGUGGCAAGCGUUGUCCGGAUUUAUUGGGCGUAAAGCGAGCGCAGGCGGUCAAUUAAGUCUGAUGUGAAAGCCCCCGGCUCAACCGGGGAGGGUCAUUGGAAACUGGUUGACUUGAGUGCAGAAGAGGAGAGUGGAAUUCCAUGUGUAGCGGUGAAAUGCGUAGAUAUAUGGAGGAACACCAGUGGCGAAGGCGACUCUCUGGUCUGUAACUGACGCUGAGGCUCGAAAGCGUGGGUAGCAAACAGG
RNAcentral lists this ribosomal RNA (429 nucleotides) under Bacteroidota bacterium. Its description in RNAcentral is "Bacteroidetes bacterium partial 16S ribosomal RNA". It matches the Rfam family "Bacterial small subunit ribosomal RNA", at positions 355 to 776 of the family's 1533-position model. The record is from RNAcentral. Lineage: Bacteria; Pseudomonadati; Bacteroidota.